CAAUAGCGUAUAUUAAAGUUGUUGCGGUUAAAAAGCUCGUAGUUGGAUUUCUGCUGAGAACGACCGGUCCGCCCUCUGGGUGUGUAUCUGGCUCUUUCUUGGCAUCUUCUUGGUGAACGUUGCUGCACUUGACUGUGUGGAGCGCUACCCAGGACUUUUACUUUGAGGAAAUUAGAGUGUUUCAAGCAGGCAUACGCCUUGAAUACAUUAGCAUGGAAUAAUAAGAUAGGACCUCGGUUCUAUUUUGUUGGUUUCUAGAGCUGAGGUAAUGAUUAAUAGGGAUAGUUGGGGGCAUUCGUAUUUAACUGUCAGAGGUUAAAUUCUUGGAUUUGUUAAAGACGGACUACUGCGAAAGCAUUUGCCAAGGAUGUUUUCAUUGA
This 380-nucleotide ribosomal RNA is filed under the name uncultured eukaryote. RNAcentral describes it as "partial 18S ribosomal RNA". It matches the Rfam family "Eukaryotic small subunit ribosomal RNA", at positions 592 to 976 of the family's 1831-position model. The record is from RNAcentral.